GAAAUGACAAAUUAAAACCAGAAAGACCCCUUUUCCCUCCAUCUCCUGAUGUCUUGAUUCAGGCCCAGCAGAAAAUGCAGUGGAAGAGAAGAUCCACUCUUCUGAGGAUGGAAUCCUUGGCCAACAUUGGUUGCAACACAGGACAGUAGUCAUCAUCAUCAUUGAUAUAAUGGCCUCCAAAACCCAGAGUCCUGCUCUAGAUGGUUCUGCUAAGAAUAAGGAUGAUACAAGGAUGGAGAAAAUUGGGUGCUGGUGAGCAAAGUGCAUAGUACUCCUCCUGGGAUGUUCUCCUGUUGAUUGGAAACACAUCCAACUUGUCACGUAAGAGGAAUCUUGGUUACUUCAGAUGCUCUUUUUGUCUGCAGCCAUGAUGGACCCUCUUGGGCAGGCAUUUCAGCUGGGCUAGGUCAUGCCUAGCACUUAUACCUGCAGAAUUCAAGAUAGCUGAGGGAACUCAGUACUGUACAGAAGUCGCUGCUGUUGUUCAUACUG
RNAcentral lists this long non-coding RNA (492 nucleotides) under Coturnix japonica (Japanese quail). Its description in RNAcentral is "lncRNA (ENSCJPG00005021267.1)". Lineage: Eukaryota; Metazoa; Chordata; Aves; Galliformes; Phasianidae. The record is from RNAcentral.